The sequence is a transfer RNA, 87 nucleotides long. It matches the Rfam family "tRNA". Rfam says of the family: Transfer RNA (tRNA) molecules are approximately 80 nucleotides in length. Their secondary structure includes four short double-helical elements and three loops (D, anti-codon, and T loops).
GCCCCCGUUGUCUAAUGGUUAUGACGUCAGACUUCUACCUGAAGAGCGUGGAUCUGGAGGUUGCGAGUUCGAGUCUCGCCGGGGGCU